This 231-nucleotide ribosomal RNA is filed under the name uncultured Staphylococcus sp. RNAcentral describes it as "partial 16S ribosomal RNA". It matches the Rfam family "Bacterial small subunit ribosomal RNA", at positions 109 to 334 of the family's 1533-position model. Lineage: Bacteria; Bacillati; Bacillota; Bacilli; Caryophanales; Staphylococcaceae. The record is from RNAcentral.
AGUAACACAUGGAUAACCUACCUAUAAGACUGGGAUAACUUCGGGAAACCGGAGCUAAUACCGGAUAAUAUUUUGAACCGCAUGGUUCAAAAGUGAAAGACGGUCUUGCUGUCACUUAUAGAUGGAUCCGCGCUGCAUUAGCUAGUUGGUAAGGUAACGGCUUACCAAGGCAACGAUGCAUAGCCGACCUGAGAGGGUGAUCGGCCACACUGGAACUGAGACACGGUCCAG